CUCGAAAUUCAGCCAAAAAAUUAGAUACGUGUUUAAUUUGGCAGAACUAGCAGAACUUGUCCCCAUGGAAUACGUUGGCAUACCAGAAUGCAUAAAACAAGUUGAUCAAGAACUUAAUGGAAAACAAGAUGAACCGAAAAAUGAACAGUAAGUUUGGCAUCUAGUCCAAACAAGACUGAAGAAUGUGCUGAUGGAGCAGUGCUGUUUCUGCAUUCAUAAUGCAUUUAUUGGCCCAUAUUUUUAUGUAACCUGUUACAAAAUAGACUUGACUUUUUCAUAAUGGACUUUUGUAUUAUACAAGGGACUGUUCACUGCUGUACUGGUUUGCAAAUUUCUUGAAUUUAGCUCUUUAAUAGCUAACUGUAUUAUUAUCGUUUUAUAUUUUAUAUUGCUAAAUAGAGAACCACACUUUAUAUAAAGUAGUUUUUGCAUUUGUUUAUUGAAUGAUGCAUCUUCUUCGGUGAAAUAUUUAUAUGCAUAAAUGGCAAAGGAAAGAAAUAAUAUAUAUUUUUAUGUCAUUGAGCAAUAUUUUUUAAUGUGUACCUGUCUUAUGGAAGAAAUAUGCAGGUAUAUAAGACCACGAUUUUCUAAAGUGCAUAUUAGAAUUUUUGUUUUUGUAAAUGGUUAAAUACAUUUCCUGGGUAACUUAGGAAAUUAAGUUUUUCAUAAGGCAACAGAUGGUUAAACUGAUUGUCAUGAAUACCCAAAGAUCAUGUAUAUAAUCGAAGUGUAUUAGUACCAUCCCAAGGUUUUUUUCUCAUUUAACAUAUUUGUUUCAUAAUUCAGCAAGUACAGAUGCAAGCGCAUUGCACACUUUUUCCUUUCUAAACUUAAAGACAAGUCAAAAAGCCAUUCUUAGAACUAGAGGAUUUAAGAGGGUAGGAAUUAGGGUUUGUAUAUAUGUAUAUAUGGGACAUUUUAUCUUCUGGCCCAAAGUCAGAACUUUAUAAAAAUCUUGAGUUUGUUCACUAAUGUGAAAUAAGCUAUGUGUCCAGGGUAUUGCUCCCCUGAGUGUAUAUGAGUGCUGAGUAGUAUUGCAGAGAAUGUGAUGAGUUAUUCACUGUCACAACUUUUUCUAUAGAAAACAGGGGCUGCUUUUUAAACUCUCACUAUGGGCACUUUACCAAAAUACUUCCAUAUCAAUUAUUUGAACUCGGUAGUUGUUUGACCUAGUUAGAUGUGGUGUUUAUUCAAGUUUGUAUGAAAUCAUGUUUGACAAUACUGUAAAUUAGGUUAAUUUUGUAAGUCUUAGCAUCAUCAUAUUGUGCUGUUUUGGAUAACACGUUUGUUACAAGCAUUUAAACUGUUUCAUUUGGUAGUACCUUUACAUUGAAAUAAAUUGUGUUUGUGCCUCC
Molecule: long non-coding RNA, 1355 nt
Filed under: Homo sapiens (human)
Lineage: Eukaryota; Metazoa; Chordata; Mammalia; Primates; Hominidae
Description: non-protein coding lnc-GTF2A2-3:2
Source: RNAcentral